This 69-nucleotide transfer RNA is filed under the name Fulvetta ruficapilla. RNAcentral's name for it is "tRNA-His". It matches the Rfam family "tRNA". From Rfam's summary of the family: Transfer RNA (tRNA) molecules are approximately 80 nucleotides in length. Their secondary structure includes four short double-helical elements and three loops (D, anti-codon, and T loops). The record is from RNAcentral. Lineage: Eukaryota; Metazoa; Chordata; Aves; Passeriformes; Sylviidae.
GCAAGUAUAGUUUAACCAAAACAUUAGACUGUGAUUCUAAAAACAGAAGUUAAAAUCUUCUUACUCGCC